RNAcentral lists this ribosomal RNA (253 nucleotides) under uncultured bacterium. RNAcentral describes it as "partial 16S ribosomal RNA". It matches the Rfam family "Bacterial small subunit ribosomal RNA", at positions 524 to 776 of the family's 1533-position model. The record is from RNAcentral.
AACGUAGGAGACAAACGUUAUCCGGAGUUACUGGGCGUAAAGGGCGUGUAGGUGGUUGAGUAAGUCUGGCGUGAAAUUUUUCGGCUUAACCGGGAAAGGUCGUCGGAUACUGCUUGACUGGAGGACGGUAGAGGAGUGUGGAAUUCCGGGUGUAGUGGUGAAAUGCGUAGAGAUCCGGAGGAACACCGGUGGCGAAGGCGGCUCGCUGGGCCGUACCUGACGCUGAUGCGCGACAGCAUGGGGAGCAAACAGG